This 772-nucleotide ribosomal RNA is filed under the name uncultured Neocallimastigales. Its description in RNAcentral is "partial large subunit ribosomal RNA". It matches the Rfam family "Eukaryotic large subunit ribosomal RNA", at positions 23 to 644 of the family's 3401-position model. The record is from RNAcentral. Lineage: Eukaryota; Fungi; Neocallimastigomycota; Neocallimastigomycetes; Neocallimastigales.
AGAGAGAGACAUGCGCGCAUAUCAAUAAGCGGAGGAAAAGAGACUAACAAGGAUUCCCUUAGUAACGGCGAGUGAAGCGGGAAGAGCUCAAAUUUGAAAUCUUCAAGGUUCUACCUUGACGAAUUGUAGUUUAUAGAAGUGUUUUCUGUUAGUGGAGUGGCAAAAGUUCUUUGGAAUAGGACAUCAUAGAGGGUGAGAAUCCCGUAUUUGGUCAUUCCUCCUAGCGUUGUGAUACACUUUCAACGAGUCGGAUUGUUUGGGAAUGCAGUCCAAAAUGGGUGGUAAAUUUCAUCUAAAGCUAAAUAUUGGCGAGAGACCGAUAGCGAACAAGUACCGUGAGGGAAAGAUGAAAGAACUUUGAAAAGAGAGUUAAACAGUACGUGAAAUUGUCAAAAGGGAAGCGUUUGACACCAGUGUUGUUUUUCCGAAAAUCAAUUACGAAUGUUUUGUUUUUGAGGAGUUAUGACUUCAUCGGCUUGCUCCUUUCUUUAUGAAACUUUCUUAAUGCACUUUUCGGUUAACAAGUCAACAUCAAUUUCUUUUGUUGUAAAAGGGUAUGAGGAAGGUGGCUUUCUUUUCGGAGGAAGUGUUUAUAGCCUUGUGCCUCUGCAAUCGGAGAGAUUGAGGUCUGCAGCGUAGAUCCUUCGGGUUAGAUACGUUUGUGCUAAGUUAUAGCUUUUCAUAGACAACUUGUUGACUAUGUUUAGUCUUGUAGCUUACUCGCUGACGCUAUUUUACCUACGCUUAGGAUGUUGAUAGUCACAGCGUGUAC